UACGUAGGGUGCGAGCGUUGUCCGGAAUUAUUGGGCGUAAAGAGCUCGUAGGCGGUGUGUCGCGUCGGUCGUGAAAACUUGGGGCUUAACCCUGAGCUUGCGGUCGAUACGGGCAUCACUGGAGUUCGGCAGGGGAGACUGGAAUUCCUGGUGUAGCGGUGAAAUGCGCAGAUAUCAGGAGGAACACCGGUGGCGAAGGCGGGUCUCUGGGCAGAUACUGACGCUGAGGAGCGAAAGCGUGGGGAGCGAACAGG
This 254-nucleotide ribosomal RNA is filed under the name uncultured bacterium. RNAcentral describes it as "partial 16S ribosomal RNA". It matches the Rfam family "Bacterial small subunit ribosomal RNA", at positions 524 to 776 of the family's 1533-position model. The record is from RNAcentral.